RNAcentral lists this unclassified non-coding RNA (2190 nucleotides) under Dimorphilus gyrociliatus. RNAcentral describes it as "dgyrCDS3092". The record is from RNAcentral. Lineage: Eukaryota; Metazoa; Annelida; Polychaeta; Dinophilidae.
AGUACGGUUUAAUUAGGUAGGGACGCCUUAGAUGCCAAUGAAGGACGUCUUAUAGGUCAACACAGCAUUUAGAGGUCGUCUUCAAGAAAUAAUAGCGAGAAAAGAACCUGAUUAAGUUUUUUUCGUGUUUAAGCUGUUUUCCAAUGGGGCGUUUACCCUCUUUUGGGAAGAAAUCAAUACUUGAAAAUUAAAGGAAUUUAUGUUUAUAUACAAAAAGGAAGUGCAUACAAAGCACGUGCGAAUAUUUCAUAUCAAAGGGUGAAAUUAACCACCCACAAUAAACGUUUUUAAACGCUGCAAUUUUCCUGAUGUCAAAUUAUCCGUCAGAAAAACGUGACUCUCUAAUCAUUUAUUGAUACUUCUCAUUGACUAGGAGUGACACGUUUCAGAAGAAAUGAGAAUUGGGCGUCUCUGCAGCAUUUUUCCACCGACGCCUUCUAAUUGCUUUUCCGCGUCACUGGCCAGCAAUGUUUGCCGCUGGAAUUUACAGCUCUCCAGUGCCACCGAUUCAGUUAUCGGCUGCAGGUCGCGACAUUUCCUCAGUAAUAUAGCCACGAGUUGCGAAGCAUUUACUGGCGAGCAGAAUCGUUUUUCUCCUUUCUUCUUUUAAGACGAAAGAGAAAGAAGAGAUAGGAAAGACGAAGAAGAUCAAGAGCACAACGAGAAAAAGAAUAUCAAGGAAAUAGAGGAAGAGGAGUGUAGAAGUGAUAAUCAAAAAUACUAUGGUGUUUUACUCAAAUGCGACCCUGAGGCAUCCUGCAUUUAUUAUGAGCAUUUGCUCGGAUCGUAUGGUGCAUAUAUUAUCCACAAUUGCCUUAACCAUAAACAUAUUUCUCAUACAAAUGGCUGAUGGAAAAUGUAACAAGGAGCAAGCUGAAUUUUGUAGAAAUGCAGCCAGAAACAAUUUGGAAGGCGGAAGUCGUGUGACAGAAAAUUCACUUCAUGCAAUAUCACCAGGCGGAAAAUGCGAUAUUCAAUCUUACGCUGAUGGAUUGUAUACACACGAGUGCAGAGUAGCAUCCUACAAACCCCAAAUCGACUAUUGCUGCUGUCAGUUUAAAAAAAAGGCGAUGUGUUGUUUAUACCAUCAGACGUGGGACAGGUUUAGAUGUAACGAAAAAGAGGACGUAAUCGAUACUUUUCCGUGGAAAUAUAACGGCCAUUAUGGGUCAAAUGGACCGUAUAAAAUGUCCCUUCCGUUACUCGUAGCUUUACCGAUCUCAGCCUUGCUGUUACUUUUGUGUAUAGGGGCAUCAGUUUAUUACUAUAGAAAGAAGAAAAAGGCGAAGCGAUAUGAGAAAGAUAGCGAGAGUUGGUGUUCGUGUUCAAAGUGUUAUGAAGAGUCCGAUACGGCAGACGAUGAAGACGAUAAAGACGACUAUUCUAACGUUCGAAAAACAGCGCCAUCUCCCGAAAUUGAUCGUCGCUGCUCGGGACCAGUUGGGCUAUUAGGAUUUCCACUGCAUACUUUCGAGGAACAAUACCCUGGUCCACCUCAAAGAAGAAAUGAUGAUAAUGAAUUCUUUCCAGUUAGACCAACGGCUCCUCCUUUCGAGCCGGAUUUCCAAAAUGAUAAUUUAAAAGAGGGAUUUCCUUCAAACAUGUGCGAAGGGGAGAACGUGCAAUAUGUUGCCGAAUCCUUUAGAGGACUCUUACCGCCUCCAUUAUACGAGGAAGUUCGACAUCAUCGAACAGCUCCUGAAUGCUAAAAAUAAUUAAUUAAUUUUAAAGUCAUUUAGUCAUGAACUGUAGAAAAAUAUGCGCAUUUUAGAUUUCUUAACAAAUUUCGUUCUGAUUUCCUUUUAUUUAUUUGUUUAUUUUGUUAUAUUAAUAUUAUUUUUUCGUUAUUUCUUAAAAUUUAUAUUAUCAGGAAUUAUCUCUCGUCUCGAAUGAUAAAAAAUGAAUUGAAUAAACUAGUUUAAUCCUAUUUAAGACCACUAAUCUCGAUAUAUAUAUAGACUAUGUAGUGAUCUAUAUAUUCACAAUAUAAAGCAUUAGACAUAUAGAUUUUUAAAAAUCUAUGCUUCAACUUUUCGUUAUUAUUUUUUCUUAUUAACAUUUCCAGACGUCAUUGACAUGCCUAAAAUAAAACUGGUAGGCCUUAAAUAUUCUUAAGAAAAUAACACAAUAUAUAGAUGGCGUCACCAGUAUAAGGUUAUUAAAACAUUAGAUUUAAUAGGAAAACUACUA